CUCCAGACUCCUACGGGAGGCAGCAGUGGGGGAUAUUGCACAAUGGGGGGAACCCUGAUGCAGCGACGCCGCGUGGGUGAAGGAGCGUUUCGGCGCGUAAAGCCCUAUCGGCAGGGAAGAAGGAGGACGGUACCUGACUAAGAAGCCCCGGCUAACUACGUGCCAGCAGCCGCGGUAAUACGUAGGGGGCAAGCGUUAUCCGGAUUUACUGGGUGUAAAGGGGGCGCAGACGGCAGCGCAAGCCAGGAGUGAAAGCCCGGGGCUCAACCCUGGGACUGCUCUGGAAACUGUAAAGCUGGAGUGCGGGAGGGGCAGGCGGAAUUCCUGGUGUAGCGGUGAAAUGCGUAGAUAUCAGGAGGAACACCGGCGGCGAAGGCGGCCUGCUGGACCGUAACUGACGUUGAGGCUCGAAAGCGUGGGGAGCAAACAGGAUUAGAUACCCCUGUAGC
This 449-nucleotide ribosomal RNA is filed under the name uncultured bacterium. RNAcentral describes it as "bacterial SSU rRNA". It matches the Rfam family "Bacterial small subunit ribosomal RNA", at positions 329 to 794 of the family's 1533-position model. The record is from RNAcentral.